This 240-nucleotide unclassified non-coding RNA is filed under the name soil metagenome. RNAcentral describes it as "partial contains 5.8S ribosomal RNA, internal transcribed spacer 2, and large subunit ribosomal RNA". The record is from RNAcentral.
AACGGUCUAUACCUGCGGUACCUGCGGAGGGAUCAUUCCAAAGAUUUUGUGAGGGGGAAAGGUGGAUGAUGUGAUAUAUAUAUGCAAUGUAAUCCUCCUCCUCCUCACAACUAACCCAAACCUGUGUGCAAAGACAUUUUGUCUCUGGAUUCAAAUGUCUCCAAAAAGCUCCUUUUUUAUUAUUAUAAAAUCUUACAUAAUAGAUAAUACAACUUUUAACAACGGAUCUCUAGAUCGGAA